AGUGAACGCUGGCGGUAGGCCUAACACAUGCAAGUCGAACGGCAGCACAGGAGAGCUUGCUCUCUGGGUGGCGAGUGGCGGACGGGUGAGGAAUACAUCGGAAUCUACUCUGUCGUGGGGGAUAACGUAGGGAAACUUACGCUAAUACCGCAUACGACCUACGGGUGAAAGCAGGGGACCUUCGGGCCUUGCGCGAUUGAAUGAGCCGAUGUCGGAUUAGCUAGUUGGCGGGGUAAAGGCCCACCAAGGCGACGAUCCGUAGCGGGUCUGGUGGGGUGAUCAGCAACAUUGGAACGGAGACACGGUCCAGACUCCAGCGGGAGGCAGAAGUGGGGAAUGUUGGAAAAGGGGCGCAAGCCGGAUCCAGCCAUACCGCGUGGGUGAAGAAGGCCUUCGGGUUGUAAAGCCCUUUUGUUGGGAAAGAAAUCCAGCUGGCUAAUACCCGGUUGGGAUGACGGUACCCAAAGAAUAAGCACCGGCUAACUUCGUGCCAGCCGCCGCUGUAA
This 506-nucleotide ribosomal RNA is filed under the name uncultured bacterium. RNAcentral describes it as "partial 16S ribosomal RNA". It matches the Rfam family "Bacterial small subunit ribosomal RNA", at positions 29 to 523 of the family's 1533-position model. The record is from RNAcentral.